This is a small nuclear RNA of Rhipicephalus microplus (southern cattle tick), 188 nucleotides long. RefSeq annotates it as U2 spliceosomal RNA. NCBI's taxonomy places the organism in Eukaryota, Metazoa, Arthropoda, Arachnida, Ixodida, Ixodidae. The record is from RefSeq and is a predicted model, not a curated record.
AUUUCCUCUAUGUGUUGCCGCUUUUGAUAACCACUCUCUGUUCUAAUUAGCUUACUUGUGUUACGAAUUCUAUUUGUAUUCAAGAUAUUAACCUUAUUUUUACAAAACGGAGCAAAGCUUGAAGCUUUCUUCAACUCCGCCACGGGUUGGCCCGAUAUUGCACGAUCUUCAGGCUCAGCUCACUCGCC